Molecule: ribosomal RNA, 176 nt
Filed under: uncultured bacterium
Lineage: Bacteria
Description: partial 16S ribosomal RNA
Rfam family: Bacterial small subunit ribosomal RNA
Source: RNAcentral
ACUCCUACGGGAGGCAGCAGUUAGGAAUAUUGGACAAUGGACGAAAGUCUGACACAGCAACACCGUGUGAGGGAUGAAGCAUUUCGGUGUGUAAACCUCUGUCGAUGAUGAAUAAAGUAUGCGGGAGUGGAAAGCCCGUGUAUUGGAGGUAGUCAUGAAGGAAGCACCGGCUAACU